RNAcentral lists this long non-coding RNA (1710 nucleotides) under Bos grunniens (domestic yak). Its description in RNAcentral is "lncRNA (ENSBGRG00000012890.1)". The record is from RNAcentral. Lineage: Eukaryota; Metazoa; Chordata; Mammalia; Artiodactyla; Bovidae.
CAGAGAAACUGGUGUGGAUGUUAGAACUUUCGUUUAGGCUUGGAAGUCACUGGCCAGGACUGCCUCUGCCUCGUUUCUGGGGCUCAGAGACUGUAUGUGAGUGUGGGUGUGUAGUGUUAGCAGUAGUAAUUGGACUGAGUGACUGCCUCAGUUCAUCUGAAAAUGGUACCCAUGUCUUGCAUCAUUAUGAGGAAUGGAUGAGUUUAUGCAUGAAAUGCAUUUAGAAGGGCGACUGGCACAGUCAGUAAAAGUUAACUAUUAUUAUAUGAGGCUACAGCAGCAGAAAAAGGGGAGGGAGCAUCUUGCCAGCGGAGGGUCCUCCAGUCCCCUGUGCUGGGUGGGGCCUAGACAGUCUGCCCACCUGGUUUGGUAAAGAAGGGUCACCGGCAGUGCAGAGGAGUGAGCCAGCACUCAUCCAGGUGGCCAGACCCCUAGUGGGGGCCAGGAUCUCACAGGACACUGUCAGCUCACUCUCUGAGCCCUCCUCCCCCUUCCUCCUCUCAGGACACAAGGCAUGCAGGCUCCCCUAGUCAGGGGAGGGUGGGCUCCUGCUCCCUCUUGCACCCCCAGUGCUCCUCCCCCAAGCCUGGAAAAAACCACCAUCCACGCUCUCCUGGCUCAGUAAUUUUCCAACUGACCUGGAAUUCCUCCUGACUGCUGCCCUCUUUUCUGGGGCAAGAGGGACACCAGCUAAGGGACCCAGGACUCCACCCAAUCCUCUCUGCUGGCCACAAAUGGGUGUGCCAAAGGCUUUGGAAAGCGAUUGCAGCCCUGGAGGGUCACCUGCUGGGAGGCUGGGGAAGGGGUAAGUGUGCCCAGAGAGGCAACUUAUUCAGUGAUCCAGAAAAUAGAGUAGAUUCUUGUUUUUUUCUCCCUCUCUUCUCUCCUGUGCCCACUCUCCUCAUCACCAUCACCAGGGCUCCACUGUUCCUCUCUCCCUUCGAGAUUUCCCAUUCUUCUCUGCCUUCAAUUGGAAGUUCCCUUAGAGACCCUCUGGCCAACUCCUUCUUACCCAGCCUCAGAAUAUGGAAGGGACUUGUUCCCACAUCAUGCCUGGUUGAUGUCAGGGCCAGCCUUGGAGCCCUGUGCCUUGGUGCUGGAUCCAUGGCUACAGUCAACUAGGUCCUCCCUUUCAAAAGCAUCUUCCCCCUGAUUUUACAGUAUUCAAAUCAACAAUGCACAUAAAUCGGAGUGCUCUCCACUCCAUGGAGGAAGAAAGACACAACUGGGCCCCCCACCCCAAGGGCAGCCUGGGCCCCCAGUUCUCUCCCACCUGCACAGUUCAGUCUUGUUAAAGGCAUCCUAGAAACAGGCAUCUUCUGGGACCUUGCUCAACAGCUGAUAAAGGGAACAUUUUACUGUCAACAUAUCCUAUUUCCCCCGCCCCUUUCCCGAUACACAGCCUUAAGCAGAAAGAAAAAAAUCUGAAAUCUUUUUUAACUUCAGAAAGAGGGACUGAGUGAGCCAUCAGGAAGCUCUUUCUGCUUCCGAGAACAGCAAACAGUAGGAAGAGUAACUCGGGGAGAAUACGACAUCUCUUGCAAGGGCUGGUCCUGGGUGGGUGGGGUGCGGCUCGGCCCGGGGGACCAGGGGCUGGCCGGCAUAGCUCGCGCGGGUAAUGGCUGCAGACCGGCCGCGGGGAGCGGAGGCGCCCCGAGAAGCCGGGCAGGUACUACCUAAAUGUUUGGUGGCGAGGGCGAGGGCGAGGGG